Molecule: long non-coding RNA, 807 nt
Filed under: Homo sapiens (human)
Lineage: Eukaryota; Metazoa; Chordata; Mammalia; Primates; Hominidae
Description: non-protein coding lnc-GVQW2-1:6
Source: RNAcentral
GGUUGCCCGGACUUCUCGCGGCUAAACUAAUUUUGGCUCCAAGGCGGCGUGAAGAGUGUGAUUCUGUUCAGCGACCGUGAUUCUGUUCAGCGACCAUGAUGUUGAGCCCCUAAUUGAGAGUCUGUUACCACUAUUAAUAGCUACUCUGUUCGGGCCCUACACAUAACGGUGUAUCUAAACCUCUCUACAAUUUUAUGGGAACCUGUGGUGAUAAGGAAGAUGUGAGCCUGGAGAUACAGAAGCUACCACAUGAAUGUUAAAAAUGAAGCUGACGCAGCAAAAGGCAGUGCCAAGGAACUAAAAGAAAACAAAUUUUGAUUACAUUUUUGGAGUUCCUGGGUCAAGCAGUUCAUGACACUGAGGCUUUUCCGCUACAUGAAUAAGUACUUUUUCUUUCCCGUUAAAGUGGGUUUGUGCUGGCUUCUCUAUCACUCACAACAACUGGAUACUAACUGAGGCAACACUUCCUACCUCUUACACACAUUACACCCAUAAAACAGAAACAACAUCUAAAAUUAGAUUUCAACACAGCUACCAAGCAGAAAAGUUCAAAUCAACAAGUUAUGGAUAAUGUUUUAUUGAAACUACAUUUCUCCUCCCAAUGUGAGUAUGGUGUUGGCCAACAUGUUGCGUGUUGAUUCUGCUUGCCUUUGUGUCCUACAUAUAGGAUGUGUACUGUGUAAUGAAUCGUUUCUUCAUUAUUUUUCUCAGCUUGCAUGGUUGCCUCCCUCACCUCCAUUCACAGAGCUCACUGUGACAGCAUUCAACCUUGUCUUGGUACAAGUGUGUAAUUUACAUAAUAGUCGC